Molecule: long non-coding RNA, 975 nt
Organism: Cotesia glomerata
Lineage: Eukaryota; Metazoa; Arthropoda; Insecta; Hymenoptera; Braconidae
Exons: 3
Source: RefSeq, a predicted model, not a curated record
AUGUUAAAUUGUAUAUCAAUUGAAAGCUGAUGAGUCAUAGACUUUAUUUCUAUACAUAUUUAUGCGUUUUUUUUAUUACAAUAUUUUAAAUCUGAGUGUCUCACAAUACCUACACUUAUAAACGUGAAUGCCCCGGUUUAUGAGACAUUUUACUAGGUGUACCAUGUAACACGGACAUGUGUAUUUCGGCUUGUCCCGAUUAAGUGAGACGGUGUACAUUUAUAAGAUUUUAUAUUGUUAAUAUGUUAUAUUAAUUAUAAAAAUAGUGCAAUUAUAUGUCAUAAAAUAUUGGCUGUUAUUAAAACCUCAAAUAUUUUUCUAAAAGCUAAGUAAAAAGUAAUUUAUAAUAAAAAGCUGAGAUAAUGAGGCAUAAACAAAAUCCUAAAGAGACAAAAACUCAAUCAUCAAAUUCAACCAAAAAAAAGUGUUGUGUUCCAAUGUGAAUAAUAAACUGAAGAAAAAAAAGUUAAAAGGCUUAAGUAAUUAUGAUUCGUCAAACAUAGAAAAAGCUUUAAAAGCAAUAGAAGACACAGAGAUGUCCUUGAGAAAAGCAGCUGCUGUUUAUGGAGUACCGAUUGCUACCUUUGUUAGAUGAAAAAGUAUUAGUCCUGAGAAGGCAAAAAUUAGAACUGAGCCAGCGACAGUAUUAUCUUUAAAAGAAGAGGAUGUUAUUGUUCAGUUGUUAUUCUACAGAGCAGCAAUAGGGUCACCUGUGACGAAAACUGACUUAUUAAAGAUGACAAUCAUUCUAAUGUGAUAAACUGUGAAUAAAAUAAUUUAACUAAUGAUGGACAACUUUUUACGGUUAUAUAUGAAUCUAGUCAAGUUAGUCUUCAAGAAUCAUUAACUGAUAGCAAUAAUGUAAUACGGUGCCCUUCUAAAGACUUUAGUGUCUUUAAUUAAGAUGAUCCUCUCCACAUUCCUUUCUCAAUCCUUUCCUACCAAUAUCCUGUUACGUGAAUGUGGAACGCUUCA